UAGUGUAGUUAACACCUGCACUAUUUGACGUUACCUACAGAAGAAGCACCGGCUAACUCCGUGCCAGCAGCCGCGGUAAUACGGAGGGUGCGAGCGUUAAUCGGAAUUACUGGGCGUAAAGCGCAUGCAGGCGGCCUGUUAAGUCAGAUGUGAAAGACCCGGGGCGUUAACCUCGGAAUUGCAUUUGAAACUGGCAGGCUAGAGUCUUGUAGAGGGGGGUAGGAAUUUCAGGUGUAGCGGUGAAAUGCGUAGAGAUCUGAAGGAAUACCAGUGGCGAAGGCGGCCCCCUGGACAAAGACUGACGCUCAGAUGCGAAAGCGUGGGGAGCAAACAGGAUUAGAUACCCUGGUAG
RNAcentral lists this ribosomal RNA (352 nucleotides) under uncultured bacterium. Its description in RNAcentral is "bacterial SSU rRNA". It matches the Rfam family "Bacterial small subunit ribosomal RNA", at positions 448 to 793 of the family's 1533-position model. The record is from RNAcentral.